Molecule: long non-coding RNA, 202 nt
Filed under: Vigna radiata
Lineage: Eukaryota; Viridiplantae; Streptophyta; Magnoliopsida; Fabales; Fabaceae
Description: long non-coding RNA (VRAD_LNC018425)
Source: RNAcentral
AAAAAUUAAAAAAAAAAACUCACGAUAAACAACCAAAAAUAGUAUAAGCAUAACAUUACUAUUUUAUUACUAUAUAAUUUUAAAGUGAUUAGAAAAUAAGAUAUAGAAAAUGAUACAAGUUAUAAGUUGAAGUCUUUAUUGCUACAUGCAUUCUUCUAAGUAUGAAUUCAACUAAUGCUUUUUGAAAAAACGAAGAUUCCAA